RNAcentral lists this long non-coding RNA (332 nucleotides) under Brassica napus (rape). RNAcentral's name for it is "long non-coding RNA (BNAP_LNC005990)". The record is from RNAcentral. Lineage: Eukaryota; Viridiplantae; Streptophyta; Magnoliopsida; Brassicales; Brassicaceae.
AAAAUAUUAAAGGGUGUUAUGGGCAAAAAUGACACAAAGUAGAUAUUAGUCUAGAGGGACAUAGCAUCAGCGAGCAAGAUGAAAAUAACCAUCAUCAAUCACGCAGAACAGUCCCGUAGUGGUCAUCAAUCUUUCUUUCUGAAUAUAUCUUGUGCUUAUCUAGUUGUAAAGUUGGCAUAUUGUUAUUGUUUCAUAGGUUUGAAAGCGAGCCCAACAGAAUCCAAAGGGAAUAUGAGGAUCUUUUCUUGCAAUAUGAAACCGAGGUAAUACCUUGUCCUUCUCAACAUCAGUAGCUUGUGUUUUCUGUUUCUUAUUACUCUGCACCUUCCAAU